UCUAUAUCCAGUAGAUAGAGUCUUGAUCAUUUUUUUUAUGAGGCAAGAUUCAUAAGUUUCAUAUGAUUCAUAAUCAUAAGGAUCAAAAAAAUUAUCUAUGUAUAACUUGUUAAUCUUUGACUCAUUUAUAUGGCCAAGUUGGCAGUGCCAGAGGUAUGUGACAUUCACAUCUUUUUUUUUUCUUCAUAUUAUCAACAUGAAGCAUAUUAUCAUUAAGUGAAAGAAAUAUAAGAC
Molecule: long non-coding RNA, 234 nt
Filed under: Elaeis guineensis (African oil palm)
Lineage: Eukaryota; Viridiplantae; Streptophyta; Magnoliopsida; Arecales; Arecaceae
Description: long non-coding RNA (EGUI_LNC014524)
Source: RNAcentral